UGAAAUGUUACUCUUGCUUGCCCAACUCAAGUCAACCAUAGCUAGCUAAAAUGGUGCUCCACUCAGCUAUAGCUGCCUAACGAGCUCAGCUCCACGUCUCGAUCUACCUCUCUAUAUUUAAUUUGCCUCCAAAAUCCAUCUAUAUAUAUCGCAUUCGAGCUAAACAACUCUUCAUCCAAACAAGCAAAGGCAAAUACUAAAGCUAGCUACGCCUACGAGUAGAAGAAACCAACAAUGGCGCCGCUCGCACCCGGGAGGCCAGCAGCCUGCCUCCUGGCCCUUCUCUCCGUCGUCACGGCGCUAUCCCUGGCGGCGCCGGGCUUGGCGGCGGGGAAGACCGGCCAGGUGACGGUGUUCUGGGGCCGGAACAAGGCCGAGGGGUCCCUGCGCGAGGCCUGCGACUCCGGCAUGUACACCAUGGUCACCAUGUCUUUCCUCGACGUCUUUGGCGCCAAAGGAAAGUACCACCUCGACCUCUCCGGCCACGACCUCUCCGCCGUCGGCGCCGACAUCAAGCACUGCCAGUCCAAGGGCGUCCCCGUCUCCCUCUCCGUUGGCGGCUACGGCACCGGCUACUCGCUCCCGUCCAACCGCUCCGCGCUCGACCUCUUCGACCACCUCUGGAACUCCUACUUGGGCGGGUCCAACCCUGGCGUGCCCCGCCCCUUUGGCGACGCGUGGCUCGACGGCAUCGACCUCUUCCUGGAGCACGGCACGCCGGCGGACCGCUACGACGUGCUGGCGCUGGAGCUGGCGAAGCACAACAUCCGCGGCGGCCCGGGGAAGCCGCUGCACCUGACGGCGACGGUCCGGUGCGGGUACCCGCCGGCGGCGCACGUGGGGCGGGCGCUGGCGACGGGGAUCUUGGAGCGCGUGCACGUGAGGAUCUACGAGGAGAGCGACAAGGCGUGCAACCAGUACGGGGCGUGGGAGGAGGCGUGGGACAGGUGGACGGCGGCGUACCCGGCCACCCGGUUCUUCAUCGGGCUCACCGCCGACGAGAAGUCGUACCAGUGGAUACACCCCAAGAACGUCUACUACGGCAUCACGCCGGUGGUGCAGAAGAAGGACAACUACGGCGGGGUCAUGCUCUGGGACCGAUACUUCGACAAGCAGAGCGACUACAGUAGCUACAUCAAGUACUACGCCUGAUCGGAGUUAUACUUUCACAAGCCACGCUGUUGCAUGCAUCACCGUCGAUUUGAUUUCGAUGUGUUGUUGCAAACUUGCAAGCGAGAAUAAAGUGAGGCUUGUACUACUUGGGUAAAUAAAUAAUUGACCAGCUGGUCGUACGUA
This 1296-nucleotide long non-coding RNA is filed under the name Triticum aestivum (bread wheat). Its description in RNAcentral is "long non-coding RNA (TAES_LNC009846)". Lineage: Eukaryota; Viridiplantae; Streptophyta; Magnoliopsida; Poales; Poaceae. The record is from RNAcentral.